AUAACAGAAUGUAAAAUUAUAAAAAGGAUACUAAUCAUUUUUGUAAGACUUUUAGAGAUAUAAAUUACUGUACUUUUGAUGAUUCUUCAGCUACUUCAUCACCAACAUCACAUUGGGUGUUUUCAUCAUCACCCGGAUAGCUCCCAUACUGUGUGUUUGGCUCUCUGAUUGAAUCUUCAAAUGAUUCAUUGUCAUUCUGCAACAAAAUAAAAACAAUAAGUCAAUCAUUAAUAUAAUUAGUAGACCUUUAAAAUAGCUUGUAAAGAUUUUCAAUUACCUCUGCUUUUCUUUCUAGUCCUCCUUCUUCUUCAGCCUGCGAAAAAAAAGAGUACAUUGUAAAGGUUUACUACGUAUUUUACCUUUAAAAUACAUUGUAAAACCUUUCCUUUCAAAUAGCUUUUAAAGAAACAUUUACAAUUACCUCUGGUUGUCUUUCUACUCCUCAUCUUCUUGUUUUCUUUCUUCAUCUUCCUCAGAUCUCUGAUUAUUCUUUUCCUCCAUUCUAAUGUCCAAAAUCCUCUCAAUCAGCUCGACUCUCUUGUUAAGAUCUUCAAGGAUUGUCAAAAUCCUGUCAAGCUUCUCGCUAUUAGAUAUUUUGUUAUUGAUUUUGUUUUGACCUACUUCUUCAAGGGCAGCACAAACAUCAACACAUCUUGUAUUCCAUUCAGUUUUCUUCAAUCUGUAGCCCAUCUUAACAAGUUCCAAAACCUGUUGGAAUUCUGUGUCGUUUGUGUGGAAAUCAGGAACUAAAGACUUGAAGUCUUCUGGGUUUCCAAUAAUUGUAUUCACCUCAAUCUGCGAAGAUACAAUAACAUUACAAAUCUUGAGAAAGCAGAACUUCAAAUCUCAAAACCAUUUAAAGAAUUCUGUAAAUAGACAAAAGCUUACCUCAUAAACAUCAUUUACAAGGUUUACGAUCUUGAAAAACUCUGGAGUAGUAGUGCUUUUCCACUUCAAUAUCAAUGGAUAUUCAGAUUGGAAUUCCUUAUCUUUAACUCCAAAUGCUGCACCAAAUGCUGGAACUGCGCUCAACACCCAUAUUGUUAGCGCGAGUCCAAAUCCUCUCAAAUCAUAUUUCUCUUUUGCCCAAGUUUUCUCGUCCAUUCUCAGAAUUGAAUUUGAUAGAACACUGAAUGCUUCUUUACCCCACGGUUGGGCUGUGUACAUCUCAAAAUCAGAAGCAUGCCGCAAUCUUGGCAAAGGUAUCUUCUCUUUUCCAUAUGGUGUCAAGAGAAUUCCUUCAGUCAACACUACUGCAGCAAGACACAACUUUUCUUCAUCUUCAACAGCAGGUUCACCUUCCUUAGGUUUUAAAAACAAUCGAUCUUCGAGAUCACCAAGAGUAUAA
RNAcentral lists this small RNA (1348 nucleotides) under Arabidopsis thaliana (thale cress). RNAcentral's name for it is "ATSL276430". Lineage: Eukaryota; Viridiplantae; Streptophyta; Magnoliopsida; Brassicales; Brassicaceae. The record is from RNAcentral.